AAAACUGAAAGGAAGGAACCCAUAAAGGUGACACAUAAAGACAAAUGGGAAAGACAAGAAAAGCCUGAAAAAAAAGAAAGGCAUGCAGUUACGCACAAAGAGAAACCUGAAAAGCUAGAAAAACCUGAAAAGAAAUCACCUUC
Molecule: long non-coding RNA, 143 nt
Organism: Nothoprocta perdicaria
Lineage: Eukaryota; Metazoa; Chordata; Aves; Tinamiformes; Tinamidae
Exons: 3
Source: RefSeq, a predicted model, not a curated record